This 85-nucleotide transfer RNA is filed under the name Felis catus (domestic cat). It matches the Rfam family "tRNA". Rfam says of the family: Transfer RNA (tRNA) molecules are approximately 80 nucleotides in length. Lineage: Eukaryota; Metazoa; Chordata; Mammalia; Carnivora; Felidae. RNAcentral also lists the same sequence under 2 other names. The record is from Rfam by way of RNAcentral.
GCCUGGGUGGCUCAGUUGGUUGAGCAUCUGAUUUCGGCUCAGGUCAUGAUCUCACGGUCCGUGAGUCCGAGCCCCACAUCAGGCU